UACGAAGGGGGCUAGCGUUGCUCGGAAUUACUGGGCGUAAAGCGCACGUAGGCGGCUUUCUAAGUCGGGGGUGAAAUCCUGGAGCUCAACUCCAGAACUGCCUUCGAUACUGGAGAGCUUGAGUCCGGGAGAGGUGAGUGGAAUUCCCAGUGUAGAGGUGAAAUUCGUAGAUAUUGGGAAGAACACCGAUGGCGAAGGCAGCCCCCUGGGUUAACACUGACGCUCAGGCACGAAAGCGUGGGGAGCAAACAGG
Molecule: ribosomal RNA, 253 nt
Filed under: uncultured bacterium
Lineage: Bacteria
Description: partial 16S ribosomal RNA
Rfam family: Bacterial small subunit ribosomal RNA
Source: RNAcentral